RNAcentral lists this long non-coding RNA (267 nucleotides) under Nicotiana benthamiana. Its description in RNAcentral is "long non-coding RNA (NBEN_LNC004603)". The record is from RNAcentral. Lineage: Eukaryota; Viridiplantae; Streptophyta; Magnoliopsida; Solanales; Solanaceae.
CAUAAAUAACUAACAUAAGGGAGACACAAUCCAAUACAGAAAUCACCUAUGGAUAGCCCUGCCAAGCCUCACCCAACCCCUGGUGAGGAGUACGAAAAACUCUAGGGACCCCUAUCCUACAACCCUGAUACUAGACCUCCAGACUUUCCUAUCAAGGGCCAUGUCCUCGGAAACCCGCAUUCUAGCCAUAUCAUGCCUAAUCACCCCUCCCCAAUACCUCUUAGGCCUCCCUCCACCUCGUCGUGCACCGACCAUCGCCAGCCGCUC